This 69-nucleotide transfer RNA is filed under the name Marmota monax (woodchuck). Its description in RNAcentral is "tRNA.Ala". The record is from RNAcentral. Lineage: Eukaryota; Metazoa; Chordata; Mammalia; Rodentia; Sciuridae.
GUAGAGCGCUCAGCGGUAGAGCGCUCGCCUAGCACAUGUGAGGCCCUGGGUUCGAUCCCCAGCACCACA